Long non-coding RNA from Anguilla anguilla (European eel), 1908 nucleotides. RefSeq lists it as uncharacterized. NCBI's taxonomy places the organism in Eukaryota, Metazoa, Chordata, Actinopteri, Anguilliformes, Anguillidae. The record is from RefSeq and is a predicted model, not a curated record. The transcript has 4 exons.
GGCGUUGGAAUUCUUUUUCGGGCAAAGGACGCUCUUCCUCUCGUAUGAACCCCUCGUCCUCACGGAAUCUUUCCAUCGCUUCCACCCCGAGCUCGUAAAAUUUGAUCUCUUCCGAGAACAUAUCCAGAGCUCCAUCCAACGGAGGACGUGAGGAAAGGAGGAAUCAAGAAAACGUGUAAUUAAAAAAAUUUUUUUUACUAGAUCUCUUGAGGUAGGUUACAUAACAGUAGAUUCCAAUCAUGGGCAUCAAUAUUAGCUGGCAGGUUAGUUGAUGAUCAUGAUAGUGAGCCUACACUUAAGACAUUAAAUGCUUUAUUUAUUUAUUUACUUGCUUGCUUGCUUGCUCACUUGUUUGUUUGUUUGUUUGUUUGUGUAUUUAAUUAUCCACCAUGCGAGAGUUCAGAUGGCUGGCAGCACAGGCCAGAGGGGACAGGCCCAGCUCUACUGCACUGAUGGAGGUUUUCUCCCACAGUCCAAAGACAUGCAGUAGGCUACCUGUAGAUUCUAAAUUACCCGAAGAGACGGCAGUGUGUGAAUCGCAGGAGGACAGCUGUCUCUGAGAUGCUGGAACCACCACGUCUGACACCAACAAUCAGACCACGGCCAAAGUCUUUCAGAUCACGCAUCUUUCCCUAUUCUAACGUUUGGUCGAACAGCAACUAAACCUCCUCACCUUGUCCGUGUGCUUUAAAUAUUGAGUUGCAGUCACAUGAUUCGCUGUUUGGAGGAGCAGGCUAUUUGUGUUAACGAGCAGGUGUAUCUAAUAAAGUGGCCACUGAGUGUACAUCCGUCUGAGCAAACGUUUAUAACUGGAACUGAGAAUGUUGGCAGACAUUUUUGCCUCUGGUUAAUCUCCUGCCAUCCUGCAGUUAAUUUUUAAUCAAGCUUAUUAAAUAUUUGGCUUUCGAUAAAGGAUGUAGCACUGCAAAUCGUAAACAUUAACUAAUUUACUAACAGAUAAGAGACUCAUACAUAUUUGCACAGAAAUAAAGGUAUGGUACUGUACCACGACAUGCCGAUAAGCCGAGCCCAGCCUCAGUGUUACUGCAACGAACUUUGUUCUCGCCUUGAGGAUGUGUUAAGGAACUGAAGUUUAUUUUUUAAUAACUGCUGAACACGCGUUUCCACAUGACACGACUGGAUUAAAUAAUAAUUAACAAGAUUUAUUGCUGUUUGAAUUAGAUACUUUGUGUGCCUUUCUCCGAGGACGUUUUCGUUCACACUGAGCUCAAGGCCUAGGCCUGGAUUCUAGGGAAAAUCAUGUGUUAAUUGUUUUGUUUUUUCACAUUUUGUUUAAUUAAUGUGAAAGAUGAACUCAAACUGUAUUUGUGAAGAAGAAAACAAAUAGUUGCAUUUUGUAAUGAGUCAAAUCUGAGGAGAAAUGUUGAUUGAACCAUCCAAUUUUUAUCAAGCAGCUGAAAAGAAGCACGUAUUCACUCGACCUGAUCUCACAGCCCAUUCAUAUCGAUUCAAUCCAUUUCCAGCACCUUAAAGUUUGGGAUGAGUGGGCGGAGGAUGAAGACGGAGGAGGAGACUUCUUUGAUUGUAAACACAGGACCACAGCAAGGCUGAAAAAUCCUGCAUAGUAUGCCUUUAAGACUGUGUGCUACUAAUACACUGCAUUGUGUUUGUAGUAAUACAGAGUGCUCACAUAAUUAUAGCUCACAAAUAUGGCCUUUUUUAACAUCGUGGUUUUCACUACAACUCUCUCCCUUUGAAAUCUUCUUCACAUCAAAGACUAUUUUCCCAAAUUGCAUUAUUACAAUUACAGUGAUACCAGAUUCAUUGUUGUAUUAAUUCCAAUAAUAAUUAAUCAUUGUUGUCUUGUUUUGUCAUUUUUAACCCUGUCUCAAGUGUAUUUAUUACCAGUUGUAGUUCAUGUGUAUUUAAAUUCAGUUUCCCUGUCAA